This 253-nucleotide ribosomal RNA is filed under the name uncultured bacterium. Its description in RNAcentral is "partial 16S ribosomal RNA". It matches the Rfam family "Bacterial small subunit ribosomal RNA", at positions 524 to 776 of the family's 1533-position model. The record is from RNAcentral.
GACAGAGGGUGCAAACGUUGCUCGGAAUUACUGGGCGUAAAGCGCGUGUAGGCGGUCCCGCGAGUCGGGUGUGAAAGCCCGGGGCUCAACCCCGGAAGCGCACUCGAUACUACGGGGCUGGAGUCCUGAAGAGGAGAGCGGAAUUCCCGGUGUAGAGGUGAAAUUCGUAGAUAUCGGGAGGAACACCAGUGGCGAAGGCGGCUCUCUGGACAGGCACUGACGCUGAGACGCGAAAGCAUGGGGAGCAAACAGG